GCAGUUGUAGCUCAGUGGUGGAGCAUCUGUUUCGCAUGCACAAGCUCCCAGGUUCAGUCCACAGCACCUCUGGGUUGGUAAAUCUCUGCUUGAAAUCUUAGAGACCCAAUGCUGGUCAGCAGAGACAGUGCUGAGCUGGAUGAACCAACGGUCUGAUUUAGCAUAAGUUACCUCCACAGAGUUAACUGUUAAACCACAGAGCCUAGGACUUGCUGAUCAGAAGGUCGGCGGUUCGAAUCCCCGCGACGGGG
Molecule: non-coding RNA, 251 nt
Organism: Podarcis lilfordi (Lilford's wall lizard)
Lineage: Eukaryota; Metazoa; Chordata; Lepidosauria; Squamata; Lacertidae
Source: the annotation of a GenBank genome assembly